AACGAACGCUGGCGGCGUGCUUAACACAUGCAAGUCGAACGCGAAAGGGACUUCGGUCCUGAGUAAAGUGGCGCACGGGUGAGUAACGCGUAGAUAACCUGUCUUUAUGUCUGGAAUAAUACGCCGAAAGGGGUACUAAUACCGGAUAUUUUUGCAUCGCACAAGUGAUGUAAACAAAGGUGGCCUCUGACAUAAGCUACUGCAUAAAGAGGGGUCUGCGUACCAUUAGCUAGUAGGUGGGGUAAAGGCCUACCUAGGCUACGAUGGUUAGCGGGUCUGAGAGGAUGAUCCGCCACACUGGCACUGGAACACGGGCCAGACUCCUACGGGAGGCAGCAGUGAGGAAUAUUGCGCAAUGGGGGCAACCCUGACGCAGCGACGCCGCGUGAGUGAGGAAGGCCUUCGGGUCGUAAGACUCUGUC
This 422-nucleotide ribosomal RNA is filed under the name uncultured bacterium. RNAcentral describes it as "bacterial SSU rRNA". It matches the Rfam family "Bacterial small subunit ribosomal RNA", at positions 29 to 437 of the family's 1533-position model. The record is from RNAcentral.